GACGAACGCUGGCGGCGUGCUUAACACAUGCAAGUCGAACGGAAAGGCCUGCUUUCCCUUGUGGAUUGCGGGUGCUCGAGUGGCGAACGGGUGAGUAACACGUGAGUGAUCUGCCCCCAACUUGGGUAUAAGCCUGGGAAACUGGGUCUAAUUCCCGAUAGGACUGCAGGGUGGUGCCUGUGGUGGAAAACGAUUUUCUAGUGGUUGGGGAUGAGCUCGCGGCCUAUCAGCUUGUUGGUGGGGUAAUGGCCUACCAAGGCGGCGACGGGUAGCCGGCCUGGGAGGGUGGACGGCCACAUUGGGACUGAGAUACGGCCCAGACUCCUACGGGAGGCAGCAGUGGGGAAUAUUGCACAAUGGGCGGGAGCCUGAUGCAGCGACGCCGCGUGGGGGAUGACGGCCUUCGGGUUGUAAGCUCCUUUCGACCGCGAGGAAGCCACCUGGUUGGAAGGGUGGUGACGGUAGUGGUAGAAGAAGCACCGGCUAACUACGUG
This 494-nucleotide ribosomal RNA is filed under the name uncultured bacterium. RNAcentral describes it as "partial 16S ribosomal RNA". It matches the Rfam family "Bacterial small subunit ribosomal RNA", at positions 28 to 507 of the family's 1533-position model. The record is from RNAcentral.